GUCCACGCCGUAAACGAUGGAUACUAGCUGUUGGGAGCAAUCUCAGUGGCUAAGCGAAAGUGAUAAGUAUCCCACCUGGGGAGUACGGGCGCAAGCCUGAAACUCAAAAGGAAUUGACGGGGGCCCGCACAAGCGGUGGAGCAUGUGGUUUAAUUCGAUGAUACGCGAGGAACCUUACCAAGGCUUAAAUGUAGAUUGACAGGACUGGAAACAGUUUUUUCUCGGACAAUUUACAAGGUGCUGCAUGGUUGUCGU
This 255-nucleotide ribosomal RNA is filed under the name uncultured bacterium. RNAcentral describes it as "partial 16S ribosomal RNA". It matches the Rfam family "Bacterial small subunit ribosomal RNA", at positions 793 to 1055 of the family's 1533-position model. The record is from RNAcentral.